This 433-nucleotide ribosomal RNA is filed under the name uncultured bacterium. RNAcentral's name for it is "partial 16S ribosomal RNA". It matches the Rfam family "Bacterial small subunit ribosomal RNA", at positions 32 to 507 of the family's 1533-position model. The record is from RNAcentral.
AGCCAACGCUGGCGGCAGGCCUAACACAUGCAAGUCGAACGAACUCUUCGGAGUUAGUGGCGGACGGGUGAGUAACACGUGGUAACGUUCCUUUUGGUUCGGAAUAACUCAGGGAAACUUGUGCUAAUACCGAAUGUGCCCUUCGGGGGAAAGAUUUAUCGCCAUUAGAGCGGCCCGCGUCUGAUUAGCUAGUUGGUGAGGUAACGGCUCACCAAGGCGACGAUCAGUAGCUGGUCUGAGAGGAUGACCAGCCACACUGGGACUGAGACACGGCCCAGACUCCUACGGGAGGCAGCAGUGGGGAAUCUUGCGCAAUGGGCGAAAGCCUGACGCGGCCAUGCCGCGUGAAUGAUGAAGGUCUUAGGAUUGUAAAAUUCUUUCACCGGGGACGAUAAUGACGGUACCCGGAGAAGAAGCCCCGGCUAACUUCGUG